GUGCUCUUCGAUCUGGAGAAUAACCUUUCUUUCUCCAGGGCCCCAUGGAAGACACCCAGUCCGGGGAAGAAGAUUGGGAAGAAGAAGAAGUUAAUAGGCCAAUAGGGCACAGAGUAAUAACCAGAUGGCAAGAAUUAGAACGUAAGGGUAUGACUGAGUCCCAGACACUAGCGAUUAUCCUGUAGGGUGGAUAGCACCAGUAGUAAUAAUUCCUCACCCUGCCGCUCUUAAAACAUGUGGCUCAUGU
Oncorhynchus gorbuscha (pink salmon) is the source of this 247-nucleotide long non-coding RNA. RefSeq lists it as uncharacterized. NCBI's taxonomy places the organism in Eukaryota, Metazoa, Chordata, Actinopteri, Salmoniformes, Salmonidae. The transcript has 3 exons. The record is from RefSeq and is a predicted model, not a curated record.